This 497-nucleotide ribosomal RNA is filed under the name uncultured bacterium. RNAcentral describes it as "partial 16S ribosomal RNA". It matches the Rfam family "Bacterial small subunit ribosomal RNA", at positions 28 to 507 of the family's 1533-position model. The record is from RNAcentral.
GAUGAACGCUGGCGGCGUGCCUAAUACAUGCAAGUCGAGCGAACGGACGAGAAGCUUGCUUCUCUGAUGUUAGCGGCGGACGGGUGAGUAACACGUGGAUAACCUACCUAUAAGACUGGGAUAACUUCGGGAAACCGGAGCUAAUACCGGAUAAUAUUUUGAACCGCAUGGUUCAAAAGUAAAAGACGGUCUUGCUGUCACUUAUAGAUGGAUCCGCGCUGCAUUAGCUAGUUGGUAAGGUAACGGCUUACCAAGGCAACGAUGCAUAGCCGACCUGAGAGGGUGAUCGGCCACACUGGAACUGAGACACGGUCCAGUCUCCUACGGGAGGCAGCAGUAGGGAAUCUUCCGCAAUGGGCGAAAGCCUGACGGAGCAACGCCGCGUGAGUGAUGAAGGUCUUCGGAUCGUAAAACUCUGUUAUUAGGGAAGAACAUAUGUGUAAGUAACUGUGCACAUCUUGACGGUACCUAAUCAGAAAGCCACGGCUAACUACGUG